GAGACAAUCCUCCUGUGUCCUCUGUAAAGACACCUUCCAGUUUUGUCCUCAUCUCCUUCCUCAAUGGGUGGAUCAGUUUACAGCAUCUAAGACAUGCCAAAGACUGCAGCACCAACUGAACUGUCUAACACCAUUAGACCUCAUAGAGACACAUUUUACUUCCUGGCUGUCCGAGUCAUCUUUAAAGCACAGGAUGAGAAAACACCUGCUGGUCUUUGCCUCACUUUUUCUCUGACUCUGAGAUUCUGGAUCAGCUCAUACCGAACAAGACAUCAUGCCACCACAGAGCAGAUGUUGGAGCACUAUCUUAACUGUCAGUGGACACCUCACGGCUGGACCACAGAGACACGUGUUCUCUCUGUCAGUUUCGAGUUUUUUUCACAACAGAUAAUAAGCUCCUUCUCCUCUGUGAUUUCUCCACUUCACAAUGAAGACACUCAGGACUGCAGAAAGGGCUAAACACACAAAUGAAGAUCAUGCAGCGUAUUCAGUUGCACUGGCGAUACAAGUUGUUCUGCCCUGCAGCCCGAGUUCAAGGACCAGCAUUGUCCUCCUACCCCCCUGUCUCCAUUUGUGCAUCCAUUGGUGCCCACUGGUCCGUUCAGCAGAGACUAACAGUUGGUUCUUAAGCAAGAGAUCAUGUGUGCAACUGCAAUGAAACAGCUGCAGAUGAGUCUUCAGUCAGUCAUCACUGUCACAGCCCCAAUUUUGUGAAGCAUUAAGCUCCUUCCUAAACCAGCAGUAACGGUAACAAUUUGUUAAUAUAUCCUUUUUAAAAUAUAUCUCUGGUAGUCUUACUACUUGCAUGUGCUAUUUACAUUUUUAACUACAUGAAUGAAGCUUCUCCUGUUUUUGUCUUUAAGGCCUCUCCUCCUCCAUGUUGCUAUAGAAACACUAUCCUUGCACUAAGCAAUGACAUAAUAACUGGUGUAGUGGUUCAGGUCAAAGGUCACAAUACUACAGGUCUUUACAGCGUACAAAACAAAUUCAAGAAAAGUAUGGUUAUCUCUAAAAACUACAGGACACCUGUCUAUUUUGUUUGUUUCAUUUGAUCUAACAAUGUAUGUUUUCUUUGUUUCAUCACUUUUUUUUUGUUGAUUGUAUUUAUUCAUUUAUGUCAUCCAUCCCUCUUCAGUCAAUAUUCUAACAGAUAUAUGCAAGAUGAAUAGUGGAAAUGUGUUAUUGCAAUUGCUACGUGUAUAUGAACAAAUUAACCUUAAGAAAUUCCAUAUUUGUAUUAAAUGAGUCAUUAUUAUGGGGUUUCAGCUGGUAGGUACAUAGGAGGUUCUUCACAGGCAUAUACCAAUCCUUAGGGUAACCUAAACUCUACUGUAAAGAUGAGUAUUCAAACCCAGUGUUAAAUUAUCAAAAUGGGUAAUCCAAGCUAAAUCUUCCAAAUUGGCUUGAAAAUAACUUGGUUCAAAGAGUUUUGUAAAAAUAUUUAAUUUGAAGCAAAUCCUAUCAUGCUCAUGUUCUAACCUUGAGUAGUGAUUCUAACCAAAUGUUCCAUCAAAAUAAGGAAGUGGAAGUGUUUUGGUGAGCCUCAGUAAACUGAGCUUAGCGUUGGGAUAGUUUAAAUGACAAUUUGGACCAGACGUAUCAGUCCGGGCUACUGGAACAUGAAGACUUGAACUUCUGUGAGUAUUAACCUAGGUCUGGUAACAAUGUAAAAAGCCUGUGUUUGAAAUAAAGAAUACUGCAAACCAUUGGAAAUGGAAUAUUUUGUGUUAUCAUUUAUU
Long non-coding RNA from Pungitius pungitius (ninespine stickleback), 1739 nucleotides. RefSeq lists it as uncharacterized. The transcript has 3 exons. The record is from RefSeq and is a predicted model, not a curated record. NCBI's taxonomy places the organism in Eukaryota, Metazoa, Chordata, Actinopteri, Perciformes, Gasterosteidae.